Small nucleolar RNA from Ochotona princeps (American pika), 109 nucleotides. Its record names the gene SNORA74. It matches the Rfam family "Small nucleolar RNA SNORA74". From Rfam's summary of the family: U19 belongs to the H/ACA class of snoRNAs. snoRNAs bind a number of proteins (including dyskerin, Gar1p and Nop10p in the case of the H/ACA class) to form snoRNP complexes. This class are thought to guide the sites of modification of uridines to pseudouridines by forming direct base pairing interactions with substrate RNAs. The record is from Ensembl. NCBI's taxonomy places the organism in Eukaryota, Metazoa, Chordata, Mammalia, Lagomorpha, Ochotonidae.
ACCAGCUGCAGGCAACUGCCUAGGUUGCCUUGUACCUAGGCAAGUGUUACGCUGCUGGGAAAAAGGCAGUCAAUAGCUGACAGGCAUUCUGGGACCGAUUAAUGACAAA